UACGGGAGGUAGCAGUGGGGGAAUAUUGCACAAUGGGCGCAAGCCUGAUGCAGCCAUGCCGCGUGUAUGAAGAAGGCCUUCGGGUUGUAAAGUACUUUCAGUCGUGAGGAAGGUGUUAAGGUUAAUAACCUUAGCAAUUGACGUUAGCGACAGAAGAAGCACCGGCUAACUCCGUGCCAGCAGCCGCGGUAAUACGGAGGGUGCGAGCGUUAAUCGGAAUUACUGGGCGUAAAGGGCACGCAGGCGGUUAAUUAAGUUGGAUGUGAAAUCCCCGGGCUUAACCUGGGAAUGGCAUUCAAGACUGGUUAGCUAGAGUCUUGUAGAGGGGGUAGAAUUCCAUGUGUAGCGGUGAAAUGCGUAGAGAUGUGGAGGAAUACCGGUGGCGAAGGCGGGCCCCUGGGACAAAGACUGACGCUCAUGUGCGAAAGCGUGGGGAGCAAACAGGGAUUAGAUACC
RNAcentral lists this ribosomal RNA (456 nucleotides) under uncultured bacterium. RNAcentral's name for it is "bacterial SSU rRNA". It matches the Rfam family "Bacterial small subunit ribosomal RNA", at positions 340 to 786 of the family's 1533-position model. The record is from RNAcentral.